Molecule: long non-coding RNA, 4167 nt
Organism: Chelonia mydas (Green sea turtle)
Lineage: Eukaryota; Metazoa; Chordata; Testudines; Cheloniidae
Exons: 5
Source: RefSeq, a predicted model, not a curated record
ACUGAAGGCAAAGACAAAUGGGAAAACAGUGGUUGAAAUUCUGUUCUGCCUCCAUCCUUGGGGGCUUCACUAACAUUUCCCACGUCAGUAAAAUGUGAACAAAGCUUAAAGAAAGGGACUUUAGGCAACAUUGUGCUUAGUCCCUGCUUGGUUGCUCAGGAAGAAAAUGGGAUACUGGAUCCUCCCUCCCUUGCCCUUCUCCCCCCAACCAUGCAGUGCAGUGGGGUGCACCCAAGAUGUCCCUCCCCAGUUGUUCCUCAGCCUCAGGUUGCAAAAAACAUAGGACCACAGGAAUUGCCAUGCUAUAUCAGCCCUGAGGUCCAUAUAGUCCAGUAUGCUGUUAUAGACAAUGGCCAGAAUUGGAUGCUUCCGAGGCAGCUGCAAUAAACCCUGCAGUAGACGGGGGGGGGGGUUAUCUGUCCCAUUUCCCCUCCCCACAUACGCCCCGAAGGUCUCACCCUAACUCUUAAUAGUUAAAGAGCUGUUUAAGCCCCAAAACAUGAGGUUUUAUCUCCCUUCCAAUACUCAAUUAUUACAACUCUGGAUAUUCGUGUGAUCCAUACAACUGUCUAAUCCUGCCCCCCCCGCUUCCCCUUUUUGUAGAUUCAGAAGCUUGGACAACUACUGGCAUUUUCUUGGUCCAGCAACUGUAUGACAGAGAAAGGGAUGAUGCUGUUGAGGCAGUUGACCAGCCUUCCAUACGGAAAAGAGCCUGAUCCUGCAAUGUGUACUCAAGCAAGACUCCCAGAUCACAACAUCUGGCCCUUAGAGAUGACUGGCUCUACAUGCUAUGAUGGCAUUGAUUUUUAAGCAUAUUAAAACAAUUGAUGACACAAUAUGACUCUAUACACCUAGGAGUCUAAACAAUUAUCUACAAUGAGGAGGUACUACCUGUGUAUGAUGACUUAAAUUUGAUAUAAGUAAACUCAACAUUGUUUUGCCACACAAAUGGAAGGUACCAAAGGAAGAUGAUUUACUACUUUAAGCACCAACUAUGACAUGUCAAAAUUCCCUGAAGCCACAGGUUACCAACAGGAUGACUCACCCCUUCAUAUGUCUGAGAAGGGGUGAAGAGUCUGCAGAGGAUCCAGCCUAGGAAGGAGUGAAGAGGUGUGGUGGUGCUGAAUCACCCGAGAAGGCUUAAUGAGCUGACGCCACUGCAGAAGCAAAGCCUUCAGGAAUGCAUUAAUGCUGCUGCUGCUGGAUAAGUAGGGAGUGGAAAAUAAAUAUAUAGGAUUGGAAGCUGCAGGCUGGCAGGAGCUAGCGAACAUAGUUAAAUAGCAGGAAAACAACACAUUACACGCCAUAAAUGACACCCUCAAUUACUCGUUAGUGCAGUACAGAGUAGUAUGUUGAUUCUGAGGAUGAUUUGAAACCGAUAAUAUUACCAAGUCGCUUAUGAGCUUGGCAUCUUUUACUGGAUAUGUGGCAGUAUUUUUCCAUGCAUUCAUGUGGGGAAAAAUAGGCCAGUGACACAAGAGUACUCUGUUUCCAAAGGGAAUCUGUGGCCUGCUGUUGCUUGUUACCAAGGUGUUAGCCUCUUUCUGUUUUUUCUUAGCUUAGUAUUGAUUAAAGAUUUCAGCUAUUAGUGCUGUCAGUCGGACGUCUUCUGCUGAUUAUAAUAAAUACUGUGUGGACAACAGCAACACAAGCAAAAUAUAAAGGGGAUCAAGAUAACAAGAAACACAGGCAGGAUAGUAAAGUGGAAAGUCCACGCUAAUCCAUAAGGAGAGAAAAUAACCUGCCAUUAUACCUGAAACCCAGAUAUUCAAAGAGAAGGAGACAGUUGGGGAGCAGUAAUACUGAGAGGUUUGGGGUGAUAGUAGACAGUAGGUGAGAAAUUAAUUUGCCAUGGAAUAAAUAUUUACAGGGAUAUUUUCUCUGUUCGGGGUUUUAAAUUGUUCUAUAACAAAGUACAAUUUCACUCUGGACAAUGACUAUGUAAAAACAGGCCCUUCCACUCUGCUGUUCUACUCAAAAUCAUCCUUGUUGCCUCCUAGACAAGAGCAAGUUUUAGUUAUGCAAGGAUGACAGAAGCAGACACACAGCUUUGGGGAGAGAACUGGAUUCUCUUUUGGCUGGAUCCUUAUCAAGAUUAACUUAAAUAUUGUCUACAUGGGGGAAAUUGACUAGCAUAGCUAUUCCAGAAUAACUAUUCUGGUAUAAUGUAAGUAUUCUGGAAAAACUCUCCUGCAUGCACACUCUAUUCUGGAAUUAAAAUGAUUUUUUCUGGAAUAAUUACUCGGCUUCUGAAGUCACUUUUAUUUCGGAGAAGUGUGUCCACAGAGGAGAGUUAUUCUGCAAUAGCUACGCUAAUCAAUUUCCCCACAUAGAGAAGAUGUAACGUCCAAUUGCAAGACCAUCUUUGCAACCCUAUUGUCUUCAAAUUAUUCCCUCAUUUACACCAGUGUCAUUUCUCUGAGGGCAAUAAGGUUGCAUAGACAAUGACCAUGGGUUUAAUUGGUAGUAGCACCUAGAUAUUAUGGAAAUGGGCAGCCUAAGACUAUGAGAUUUGGUCUACACACAAUUAUUUUAAUAAUAUAACUGUUGAAGUUAGAGGUGUGAUUUUUUUCUAUUGAAAUAGCUAAAAUGGUCCAGCCUCUAAGCCAGAUGUAGUUGUACUGGUAUAAAGGUGCCUUAUAGUUGACUCCUCUUCCCAAACAUGAAUAGCUAUAUAGGUAAAGACACCUCUUUUUCUAUAUAGUUGUCUACAGUAGUGAGAUUGUACUGCCUAAACUAUACCAGUAUAACCAAAGCAGUACAAUUCUUGUUUGUAAGUAAGGUCUGAUCAUUAGAUUUUUGGGACAAUGGGAUUACACAAAUGUAACUGAAGGCAGCUUUUGGCCUGUAGAACCUUGAUAGUGCACAAAUAAAAAGUAAUACCUAGCUCUUAUAUAGUGUGUUUUUUCUUCAGUAGCUGUCAGUGCAUUUUACAAAGGCAGUCAGUAUUACUAUUCCCAUUUUACAGAGGGGGAAACUGAUGCACAGGGAAGAGAAGUGUCUUGCCUCAAGUACCCAGCAGGCCAGUAGCAGAGCCAAGAAUAGAACCCGAAUCACCCGAAUCUUAGUCUAGUGCUCAAGCCACUAAAAUAAUGUAGCUUAACUAUCAGAUCUCAAGCUAGCCCCAUGGUAGCGGGGUUAGAAAAAAAACCACCUUUGUCUUACCUGUAAAUUCAGCAAAUGUGAUCUGGAAAUCAUUGAGACAAAAUACAAGGAGCUACAUAGAAUCAUUUUUAUGAAGUCACUUCCACGGGACAACCACAAUUUAACUUAAAAAACAAACAAACAAACAAACCUGCCUAUUUUACACAUGUUCUGCUGUCCGCCAGAGUCCACAAACAGCCUGAAACAGUAACUUAAAGAAAGGUGUGAAUUGUUCCCAUUCAUCCCAAAGAGGGGAUGAUUCUGAAGUCUAACAAUGACUACAGAUGUUAACUUUUUUACUGCUGAUCACUUUAGCAGAAAUAUCCGACUAAUGUGAUUUCCCAGUGUGGUUGGAUGCCUGGUAGAUAUGGGGCAGAGCAGAGGGGGAGAGCAGGGGCAACCUGAACUAUUUAACAGUGGUGCACAACUAUAAAUGGUAGAACUCCAGUGCUUAAUUUAUUAUGAAAGAGGUGCUGGGGCUCAAGCAAUGAUUUUUGUAUUCAAGAUGUUAAGUCUAUUUAUAGUUUUUCACCGUGUUUCUACAAUAAAACACUUUACCUUUGCUGAAGAUGUUAAAGUUCUAUUUACAUUUUCCAGAUGCCUAGUCUUUCACCAUUCAACAUCAGGUAGGCACAGAAGAUAAGGAAUUCUCAGAGACAUCAAGAACAUUUGUUACCUUUAAAGCAACAGCCUUCAGCAAUCAAUGAAUAGAUUAUGCUAAUCCAUUGAUGUGGUUUCUUUUUAAAAUUUGUGACAGAUGUGUCAAUAAUAUUUUUUUCAGAAUAUGCUGUGUGAUACAAUAUGUUGCAACCCUACUACAAAUUAUAUCAGUAUAUGUUGAUGUAUAUGUAGAAGUAUUGUGUAUUUAGCUAUCACAGUUAGGAUAUAAAUGUGACAGACUUUACCCUUAUGUUCACCACUUUUAGAAAACUAUGAUGAAUUUUUUUCAAAGUAUGCCUUGUGAGGUAUCAUUUGAAAACUCAUAAUUCACUGACCUUUAUUGUCCUGGUAAAAUGUGUGGCA